This 4435-nucleotide long non-coding RNA is filed under the name Strigops habroptila (Kakapo). Its description in RNAcentral is "lncRNA (ENSSHBG00005006566.1)". The record is from RNAcentral. Lineage: Eukaryota; Metazoa; Chordata; Aves; Psittaciformes; Psittacidae.
UUUUAAAAGUGAUUUCUCCUUUUUUUUUUUCCCAAAUAAUUUCCAGCAAUUAAGUUCACAUGCAAAAAGCUGAUUCCACGUACAGAAAAUACUCUGAAAUAACUGAAGGAUACCCAUUCCAGUCCUCAAACUGACAAAAAUACACUUCACAGUCAUCAAUACAAAUAGAGGAAGCAAACAAAAUACAAAUCCACAGCUGCAAAGCUUCAGAUACACAAAAUGACUAUUUUAAUGUUGUGACAGAUCCAUAGUUUGAAAAUAUACUAGAGCAUGUUUUCAUCAAACUAACAUGGGGUUAAGGUUACCUGUGCUGUACAGGUACGUGUGACUAAAACCAGCUGGUGGCAUUCUGCCUCUCCCCAAAAUAGUAAUGGGAUGCAUAUGCUGAAAGUCCAUAUGAGAGAAAUGACAACAUGAAACUGAACUUGCACACAGGAAACCCUUAAGAUUAAUAUACAGGAGCACAAAAAUGAUAAAAGCAGGUUUUUGCUAGGGAAUAAUAAAGAAAACAAACCAACAAGCAUCUGACAACACAUAACUGGAAAUACUGUAGAUACACUGCGACACUUCAUUAUAAACCCCACUGGCGAUUUACAAUCUGACACCCAAUAUGCAGAUUCAUUGCCAGAACUCCCGUUUUCACCUGCUUGUGGACCAAAAUGCCAUAAACCAUACGUCUUCAUCUGGGUUACGACGACAGUUCCCAACAAAGUCCUUAAACUUUAAUAAGCUGCAUAAACAGUUGCAAACGGUCAUUUGCUCUAAUUAUAUUACUGUCAAAAUGGAAAAAAAGAAAUAUUUGAGACUUAAUUACUGCUUCUUCAACUUAAAACUGGAGCAGAAAAGCAGCUCAAGGAAUUCUGAAAAUGGGGGUGAAUUCAAACGUGGGCAUUAGUCAAGGGCUCCAAGGUUCUGUACAGCAAUGAAAGUACGGAAACAAAAUAAGCAAAUUCAAGAAAGGAAAUAAGCACUGGUAUUUCACCUCAAAAAACUUCAGCAAAAAUGCUUCUUCCUAAAUGCAGAUAAUUAGGAGCAUGGUUGACGACAUUGCUGCAAGAUACCCAUGGUUUAUAAUCUUUGACUGAGAUAGAAAAAUAAUUCUCUUGCUUCCGUGCCAAACAGGACUUGCAAAUAUAACCUAUUCCCAUUAAAACUGUGCUUGGUGUCUUAAAUGUUUAAGGCUAUACAUGCAUUGAAAUUUAAGGAAUUUCAAAUUGAAACAGUAGUUGAAAACUGUGUUCUAUCACAUAAAUUCUACAACGAAGAGACUCUGGUAAGAAAUGUACACACAAUGCAGCAUGAGUCUGUUUCUCUAAGACCAGCAUACAUUAGACAGUUAUUAUAUAUCAUCAGGACUCCAGACACAGAAAAGCCAAAUCUGUUCUCAAGUGUUGCACACUUCAGAUAGAGUUAUAAAAUGGGUAGAAUAAGCUAAUUUGACAGCACUGACUGACUUAUAUUUUUGCUUUUGCUUUGUGAUGGGCUUUUGAUUAAAGUGCACAAAGAAAUACAACUGAAACACUUUGCUAGUGAUACAAUAACACACAACCAGUCAGAAAAGAGGUAUCUUGAAUUCUCAGCUGUGAGUCACAUUUACAGAAGCCUAUUUUAUAUUUGUUCGAAGAGAUCCAUUAUAUCAUUUCUGUCUUUAAGUAAUAGCAAGUCCAAACAUUACUUGUCCAAAGAAUUAGAAACAGACUUGGAUCUUUGGUUAACACCACGUGACACUACAUCAGACACAGGAAUCAAUCAAGAAUAAACAGUCGUAUAAGGAGGUUUCUUGGAAAGGGGGGUGAGGAAGGGAAGGGGAAAACUCUGAAUUCAAAUUGCGUUGGACUGAACUGCCACUUGAAACCUCCUCUACUAGGAAUAAUCAGGUUAAGACAUCUCUUCAGUUGCAGUGACUGCUUACACACUAGAGCUGUAGUUUCUCUACAUAUUAGUUUUAUACAAAAGAAAGAAGGCACCGAGUGCAUCGGUGGCAUACAGGCAGUAUAAAAGUAUGCAAGAAAAUGCUACAUACUGUAUAUUUAAUACCUUUUAAAAAUGCGGUGAAUGUGUGCUAUCUCUAUGCAAUAUAAUGAUUCACAAAUCCAAUUCCUUAUAUUCCAAUGAAAGAAUGAUUUAAAAUGUGAAAGACAUUUUAAUAAUCUUGCUGAUAGCAGCACGAUUCAAUAUUGGUAUUCACUAAGAUCAGCUAUUAGCUUAUAGUCACCAGAAAGCAAGUUCAAAAUCACUGAAGAUCAAGGGAACUAUAAUCUAUAACCACACUUCUGGAACAGAGCCAGCAGCCUUUACUCAUGACAGAUGUCCCAUGAAGAAGGGAGAGGAGGCUCAGUUUUACCACUGUUGUUCAUGUUCAUAGUGCCUUUCUCUGAGUCAUCCUGGAGAAAUAGAUGGAAUUGCUUAUAGGGAAAGGUACUACAUAGCAUGAGAGACACGUGGUUAAACCAGGACCUGAGUAAAAGGCAGUAGGUUCAGGCCCUUAGUCAUUAUAUUAGCACUUUAGAUUGUGUAACAGUGAUAUAGCUUGCUCAUAGAGCAUUUUAUUUUACAUUGUUAAAUCAUCUUAUAUAAAAAUAGGUAAGAAAGCUCUGUAAGAAAGUAUAUAGACUAUAUAAGGAGAAAUCUCUCCUUAAAAAAAGCAAAGAAAGGGAAAAAAUUGAAUAAAAGGUUUCACUAAUUACACUUUGUCAUGAAAAUCACAUUAAAAACAGUUACCAUAAACGAAACAGUACUGAGCACUAAUGAACCUUGUGGUUUACUGGAAAGGACAGCAAACUAGCUGUACAGUAAAAAAAGAUCUUUGCUCUAGCUCCUUUUUUGUAAAUAUUCCCUAAUACAUUCAACUGCUUAGAAAUUUUCUUAAAAUGUCAUAAUAGCAAAAUUUGCUAUCAACACUUGUUCAAAGCCCUGCUCCUUGCUCACACAAUGGCCUAGAGAUUACAUCUCAAAGCUACGGUCGUGCUUUUAGUCAAUUCAAACUCCUAUUUUGGAAAUGAACCAAAUGUUACAAAGCAAUCCACUUUAAACCCUCGGCAUGCAGACAGUGUCCACAGGAUUCACAAAACAUGGCAAAAUAAAUAACCUGCUACAAUGGGCAAGGCUCCUGUCCUCAGGUAUAAGAGAAAAAAAGGAUGACAUUAAUUACAUCCCUGAAUGUCCAUGAGGUAUUCCUUCAGCGGUAUGGUAUUACUGCUUCUGCUCUCCUGAGUAGGCUCUUCAGACAGGCAGCUUUUGGAGGCUUUAUGUCAACUUGAGCAGUAGCAUGCUUCCAAGGAGGUGAAUGAAUUCUUCCUGCUACUAGGCCAGCCUUGCCCAUUUCCUGGGCAUAGCCAUUUCCUAGUCUUCAUUCCUGACAGGAGCAAAACUACCUGCUUUCCUGAUUCCUGGCACAUUCCUCUGCGUAAGGAUCUUACUUCUAUAUUAUACCAGCAUAAGCCUGCACAGGAAAACCUGAUCUAGCAUGUAUCAAACCAAUUUAUUAAUUCAACCACACCAUGUUAUAUAUGAACUAAGCUUGCUAGAGUUAAUAUAAUGAUGCCAUAUUCAGGUAGGCAUAAUAUACGCAGACGCAGGUAAGAUUUCUGCAUAGUCUGCAGAAAGGAAGAAACCCUGCUUGAACUUAAGGAGGGGCAGUGAUAAGUCCAUAAGGCUAAACUAAUCCAUAUCACUGUAGGGCAGCUGGUACUGACCCUGAGUAAAUAAACAUCAUCUACCCUGCUUACAUCUGUAAAAUACACUAAGUUAGAAGGCAUGGAAUGCCCAGACAGACUGGUGCUGCUUGGAAUGCAUAAACUCCCACAGUUCACAUGUCCUGGUUUCUCUGAGUAGGGUCCUCUGAGGGCCACAAGGCUUCAAUAGUGGAAUUUGAGUCACUUUUCCUGCCACUGUACGAAGCCAUCUGUUACUUCACUGCUCUCGCUCUCAGACGACAUCUCUUCAUCAGGCAUUAAUUCACUGACAAGCAAACACUACAGUGCCUUUCCCCUCUGAAACUACCAUCAUAACAAAGUAGUCUGAAAUCCAGCUGUGAUGCACUACAAAAUCUGGCAGUUGAGUUAAAUAGACCAAAAAUACAGAACACUCUUGAUGGCUUGCUCUAACAAUGAAUUUGCUGAAUGUUCCAGUUAAAAUGAUCAAGAUGUUUGGGGACUGCUUUAACAGUUUUAAUAUUAAGUUUUAAAAAUAUUUCAGAAGCUGAGGAAAAGGAAAAACAAAAAUAAGAGAUAAUGAUUAAAUAGCAAGUAUGUGACAGUAUCUGGAUACUUGGUUUUACACCUCCAUUCAUAACUGAAUUCCCAUUUGAUGGUGUUGCAGGUGCCACACUGUAACACUGCUCUAACCUACUGAUCCUACUGCACUUCAUCCUUUCAUGGUCAGGUUUACUCUCCUGUUGAUGCCCACAGGCUCCCCAGAUUAACAUUAAUAGCAG